This 889-nucleotide long non-coding RNA is filed under the name Nicotiana benthamiana. RNAcentral's name for it is "long non-coding RNA (NBEN_LNC034571)". Lineage: Eukaryota; Viridiplantae; Streptophyta; Magnoliopsida; Solanales; Solanaceae. The record is from RNAcentral.
UUCAUCUUGUUGGAAUCAUUUUGCAUGAAUCCGUACUCUCAAGUAAGUAAAUGUCAUUCCCAGCAGACAUCGAGUUGUUCAUCAAGGCUUAAUAAAUCCCGAAAUCAGGUUCUUUGCACACAAAUAGCUACCGAAAUUAGCAGGAAUAGAAUUUAGAAGAAAAUGCAGCCAAAUGAAAGCUUAAUUCUACACAUUAGAGUUCUUGGUACCAAUUUAACAAACAACAGCAAAUCCAACCCAAAUGAUGCUUGAUACCCAAAAAAAAAACAAGUGAAAAGAAACAAGCUGUAGUUUCCAACAGAUCUCUCUUUUAUCUUUUUUUAGAAAUAUCAAACUCAAUUAACAAUUUUAUUCUAGUUGAGUUUACAUGCAUUUAUUUCGCUGAAUUAAAUCAAACAAGUUCGUUCCAAUAGCAAUAACAGAUGAAAUUGAAAAUAACCGUAGCUUCAAGUAUGUAACUGAUGAGCUAGAGCAUAACUACUUCCAUAUCAAGGCAAUCCAAACAUAAAUUCUUUUUAAAUAAAUACAUACCUAAUUGCACGAUGAUUUAAACAUAAGCCAAACAAAGGCAAAGAAAACGACUGGUUGGAGCUGUGCAACGAUGAACAACAGAUCGCAACUUCAACUUCCAAAUUCGACACCAAACUCGGACACCCAGAAAUGGUAGAGAUUGAAUUUUGAAAUCAGUUUUUCUUUGAUAUUCUUUCAGAAAUUUCAGCUAUUCUUUGUUUGUCAAACUUUGUGAUUUUUCAGAUCUUCACUCGGAAGUUUUAGCUUUGUUUCAGCUGUUUAUGUUCAAAUCACGAGUGAGUGAGUCUCCGUCUCCUGCACUCAAUCAACGCCUUAAUAAUUGAUAAUUGAAACAAUAUAAUUUCUAUUUUCUUAAAAC